Molecule: long non-coding RNA, 1444 nt
Organism: Gasterosteus aculeatus aculeatus (three-spined stickleback)
Lineage: Eukaryota; Metazoa; Chordata; Actinopteri; Perciformes; Gasterosteidae
Source: Ensembl
GCAGGUCGGCCCUGGGGAACUGCGCAUUGGAGAGAGGAGGGCCGAGGUUGUGCGGGACGGAGCGGGUGGGGGUGUCGCACAGAGCCUGAGGUGGAAAGGUGGUGAGGUGAGGAGGAAGCCCCCACUGUGUGCAGCAGUCGUGGCACCCCCAUCUGGUCACCGGCGGAACUGAGACAAACCAUCUCCAGGUACUUUGUGGCGUCUGAGCACCAGAACCAGCACGGACAGACUUUGACACACCAAUGCAAAGGGUCUCUCCAACAGGAAAAGGCUUGCGAGGUGUCAGAACGCCAGAAGGCCUUUUUACAGUGCCACAUCAGAGAGACAAAAUAAAGAGUAGAUUGACCCAUGACCGGAGCCAUUUUCACCUCGGCACGGACCACCUGGAAAAGCAAUGAGUUAAUGUGAACUACCAUUUAUGCAACUUCCCCCCCUAGCCCCUUAACUUAGGAGCAAUUCUGCUGUCACUCAACUCUCAAACAAAGCUCAGUGUUUGGAGAGAUUUACAGGGGACCUGCAAUAAUGUAAGUCAGUAUAUUUACUACUGUAUGUACAAAAAUAGCUCUUGUAUAUUUUCAGUGCAGUGCUUCACCUACCAUAACAUUGAUGGCCAAGAUUGUUUAAAACUGGUGAAUGAAAAUGUUAUUUUUUUAAUAAGCUGAACAUUAUACUUCUAAACAGAACUACUAGCAUAACUGUCUUUAGCUGUUUUAUUCAGAUUAAAAAUACAGCAGUUCUGUGUAAAAUGAAGCAGCAAGAAUGUGUUGUAAAAGUCAGCUGAAAAAGAGAUAAUUAGUUCUAUCAUAUGUCAACUGUUGUUUCCUUGAUGGCAUCAAGAAGAAAAAAGUGUUCUAAAUUCUAAAAACUCUUAUUAUCUUUCCCCUUGUCUGUAAUGUUCCACCACCUACUUUGACCUCCUUCAGUCCUGGCUUAUUGAACAUUGCCUGGGAGGACUAUCAAUGCGAAACCAGGCCAGCGCUGGGAGAUGAUGAAAUCCGUCCCCCCGUCCUUCCUCGUGUUGACUUGAAGUUUCACAGGCUGUUGGCAGGGCCGGCGGUUGGAGGCGCCGUGGGCUGCGAAGGCUUUGAGUGUGACCUCAUGUUCCAUUCUGUUUCUAUGCCGCUGCGCCUCGGCUCUCUGUCCUCCCCGGGCCAAUACUUCACUGCAGCUCCAACAACUGCUGUGGGACACUGAACAUCUGUAAGCCACCGCUCCUACGCGGCCGCCUCUGCUUUCUGUGCAGCGAGUGUGACUUUGCAGCACGGCCUGUGAGGCGGUGUGCAGCGCGCUUUGAUGCCGGCCAUAGCUGGUACCAGUUGCGAGCCGCCGCGUCCGUGUUUGCACAGCUUGCCUUUUGCGUCGGGGACUUUUUCUGUGCCGCACGUCUGUGAGAGCAAAUGAAUUAGGAAACUGGUGUGUUAACUAUACAAGAGAGAGUGUUGAU